This 67-nucleotide transfer RNA is filed under the name Elimaea cheni. RNAcentral describes it as "tRNA-Glu". Lineage: Eukaryota; Metazoa; Arthropoda; Insecta; Orthoptera; Tettigoniidae. The record is from RNAcentral.
AUUUAUAUAGUUUAAUAAAAAACAAUACAUUUUCAUUGUAUAAAUAAUAUCUCUAUAUUUAUAAGUU